AGCGUAGACGGCAGUGCAAGUCUGAUGUGAAAGCCCGGGGCUCAACCCCGGGACUGCAUUGGAAACUGUGCAGCUAGAGUGUCGGAGAGGUAAGUGGAAUUCCUAGUGUAGCGGUGAAAUGCGUAGAUAUUAGGAGGAACACCAGUGGCGAAGGCGGCUUACUGGACGAUAACUGACGUUGAGGCUCGAAAGCGUGGGAGCAAACA
RNAcentral lists this ribosomal RNA (206 nucleotides) under uncultured bacterium. RNAcentral describes it as "partial 16S ribosomal RNA". It matches the Rfam family "Bacterial small subunit ribosomal RNA", at positions 568 to 774 of the family's 1533-position model. The record is from RNAcentral.